AAUAUGUUGUAAUUUCAUGUUUUUUUUACUCACUCUUCUUAGAAUAACUUUACCAUUUAUUGGUGCUUUUAGAUGAAACAAAAAGAAAAUUGUAAAGUGGAAUAAGGAGAAUCCAAAAUAAAUUUAAUUUGAAGUUAGUUUGAACGGUUAAUUUGAAGGAAAAGUGUCAAAAUGCACUUUUUUAGCAUUUUAGUCGUGGGGCAAAGCGUGAUUAUUUUUUAAAAUAUUUUUGUUUUUUUUAAUAAAAAGUUAAUAAAGUUUUUCAUGCAGCCCGUUUGCCAAAAAAAAAAUAUUUUUUUUAUUUACCCACUAAAAAUUUGAUUUUAAUAAACCAAUAUUUGCAUUCUGUUUUUGAGAAAGGGGCAGUCAAAGCAUCCACAAUUUAUUUUUAUUAUUUUUUUUCAUUAUAUUUCAAAUCAGUUUCAAAAAAAAUAUAUAUGUUUUUCUCACAGUAUUUUUAAUAUAAAUUGUUGAAAAAGUGUCUAUUUUAGCUUUUUUUACUUUGAAAAUUCCAUUAAUCACGCACACAUACAAAUUUAGUUCAAAAGAAUGCCACACAUAAGCUGGCUCUGAUGAACUCUUUCUUUCUGUUCUUUUCUAUUUAUUGAAAAAAACUUGCUCUUGCGCUCUCAUUUUCUCGUUAUAUUUUGUUUGUUUUUUUUUUUUGUUUCCUAUUUCCUCACUCAGGCAGGCAGAAAUCAUUCAUGAAAUUAUGAAAAUGCUGCAGAGAGUAGGUAGAUAGUAGCAGGGUUGAAAAAUCGUCUUUGAGCAUUGUAUCGAAAGUGAAAUAAAAAGUGUAUCGAAUUGUACUUUUUAAAUCUUUCAAAUUUUAUUAAAAAACAAUUCGAAAAAUUUAUUUUAAAUGAACGAAAAACUUUAAGAUAAACCAAAAAACUAAAUUCAUUUUUUUUUUCAAAAAAAUCGAAAAAACUUUUGAGGUCAUUUUUGAUUUUGAUCUUUGUUACUGUGUUCCUAUUUACCGUUUACAACUGCAAAACACUGAUGUUUCAUUACAACUCAAAAUAUGCAGAAUUAUUGCAGGUGUAUUGAACUUCGAAAUAUAGGCUUUAAUCUUAUCGUAAAUGGCUAUGACAAUUGAGGUGAAUUUAUAACAAAAAAAAAAAAAAUUAAAAAACCUAACCUUUGCCAAUUUUUUUUUAAUAAAUCUCACAUGUAAACAAAAAAGUAAUGUCCUGAAAAGAAAAUUGUGUUUCUUUGAAGAAAAUUAAAUAAAGACUUUAAAUUCCCCCUUGACCGUUCAAUGUUCUAUUCAAAUCAAACGUGUAUUUGACUAAUAUUGCAGUUUUAACAAUAUCUUAGAAGAAUUGAAAAGAAAAAAUUGAUCCAGAAUACCUUUUACAUUGAUAUUAGCGGAAAGACAGAACUGUAUCGAAUUUAGUAAUAGUGUAUUUGUGUACUUUAGCCAAGCCAAGUGUAUCGAAAAAAGGACAAUCGUAUUGACUUUUGCAACCCAGGAUAGUAGAUAUUUUUUGCAAGAUCAUUAUCUUUGGUUUUCAAAAAGUGUUGUUUUGUUCUUGUUGACUCUUGGGUUUUCCUAACAAUUCAUUUCGUGUUUAUAACAUCGCACUCGCGGGUGCGAGUUGACAUUUUUGGGUUUUUUGUUCUGUUCUUUGCAUUGUGUAAAGGAUUAGAUAUGUGGGUACAUUGGUAAAUAUGCACUUGUUUGUGUGUAAAAAUGUAUAUUGACAUUUGACAUGUACACAAUGAUUGAUUUGCAUAUUUAGGUUGAUUUCUGGGUUGUUUUAUUUAUUAUACUACACUCGCGCUUGAUGCGUGCGGGGUAAUAUAAUAUAAAUACAUAUAUGUCCUUUUUUUUAUUGUCUUUGUUUAUAUGUUGCGGAUUCGGUUUUUUUUUUUUUGUAGGUUACCACAGAGAAUUUUUGCCAUUUUAGGUAUAAUAGUUAUAUUUGCGCGGGGGAAUGGGUAAAGGAGUAUAUAAGUGUAUUUGUGGUUAGAAUAGUUUUGCAAUGGGCUUUCAAUUCAGUGUCUUCUUUGUUUGUGAAUGAAGAAGAAGCUUUUUAUGUUUUGAUCUAGUUUUCUGAAGUAAGACUCCAAUUGAAACGAAAAAAGUAGUAUGUAGAUGCCUAUCUGAUUUCAUAAAUAAAAUAUCAGUUUAAAAAAACAGAUCAUUUUUUCCAAAGUGUUGAGCUUGAAAAUUAUUUUUGAAAACUUCAAUUAACUUUGAUUACAUAGUUGAAAAUUAUUAUCAAGGUUGAAAAAAAGUAACUUAUAAGUUUUAAAUGCUGCCUUAUUUUUGUUUUCUAAUAAUGUAGGAAUAGGUAAAUAAAAAACAAAAUCGAUUCAAUUACGAACUGAGUUCAUUGCAUUGGUUACUCUAAAAAAAAUCUUUAUUAAAAAGGUGUUAAAAGUAAAUUGGAUUGAUAUACCUACAUAUGUGCAUAAACAUAAUUAGGUAAUAAUCUUGGUUUGUUUGGUCUAUCCAAAUUCAUACAGCUAUAUUUAUUCAAGGCUUAAUUUUAUACACAGUCAUAAUCAUAACUAUCAAUUUAUUCUCGGCUAAAUAUUUAGUGCAAUCAGCACGAGGCCUUAUCCUUCAAGCAAGAAAACUGAGUUCAACAAAGAAACUCCGACCUCAGACCGCGAAAAUCGGGGUUGCACUCACACACUUGCAACUUUUUGUGUAUGAACACAAAAGUCGAACGAGAAUCGUGGUGAAAAAGUGCGAAAAGGAAAACACUAUAUGAUAGAGACAAGUGCAACCCCAUUUUACAAAAGAACAACACGUCGAAAUUAAUAAAACAAUAAAAAAAAAGUAAGUAAGCGAAGCGAAAGUGGAAGCGAAAGUAAUAAUUCAAAGAAAUUUUAUAUAAAAAAAUAAAAAAUACUAUCAUCUCAUCUCCAAAAAAAAGAGCAGCUGUAGAGGGUGGCCGAGGUUUGGGACCAGAUUUUGAAAAAAGAAGAUGUUUCGCGAAUGAAGACGCUAAAGUUGAUGUUGAAACUCUGGCCUGUCAGUGGGAAGGAAUAAGAAGCGCCUGAAGGUUGGUGGAAUUCGCAAGACGCAUUCCUGGAUUCGGGAGUUACGAUGAUAUCGCCUUUGAAAAUGACGAAUAGGGUCUUAUGUACGCAGAGCUAGCAACUAGUAUGGAAGGAUUCUUAAAUAUUACGGUCAAUGCAUCUACUCUCCAAGUUCAUGCUAGAAAGCUCCGAGAGAAUUUGGACAUCCAUAGCAACUCAAACUACAGCAGCAACAACAAAUGAAAAUAAAUGAAAUGUAUUUUAUUGUAUUUAUUGUAAUUUCUUUUGCUACAAAAACAUUAAAUUAAAAAAAA
Long non-coding RNA from Episyrphus balteatus (marmalade hoverfly), 3311 nucleotides. RefSeq lists it as uncharacterized. The record is from RefSeq and is a predicted model, not a curated record. The transcript has 3 exons. Lineage: Eukaryota; Metazoa; Arthropoda; Insecta; Diptera; Syrphidae.